RNAcentral lists this ribosomal RNA (255 nucleotides) under uncultured bacterium. RNAcentral's name for it is "partial 16S ribosomal RNA". It matches the Rfam family "Bacterial small subunit ribosomal RNA", at positions 524 to 776 of the family's 1533-position model. The record is from RNAcentral.
UACGGAGGGUGCAAGCGUUAUCCGGAUUCACUGGGUUUAAAAGGGUGCGUAGGUGGGCAGGUAAGUCAGUGGUGAAAUCCUGUAGCUUAACUACAGAACUGCCAUUGAUACUAUUUGUCUUGAAUACCCUGGAGGUGAGCGGAAUAUGUCAUGUAGCGGUGAAAUGACUUAGAUAUGACAUAGAACAUCUAUUGCGAAGGCAGCUCACUACGGGAAUAUUGACGCUGAGGCACGAAAGCGUGGGGAUCAAACAGG